UCCAGAGUUGACCCCCAAGGACCAUAAAAAAUUAACGCCAUCCAGCUUGGAAGAGGACCACGCAAACAAAUAAAGUCCCUCAGAAGAUCCAGACUUGUGACGUUCACUAUUUGUUUUUGGGACUUAAUACUGUAGUAGUUCUCUUUUCAGAUGGACGUGGCUUACCCCCUACUAUGAGUCAUGCUAAACUGACACUUUUGGAUAAAACAAAUGACACAUGAACAUUUUUUCCAGGUGACUGAAGCCCCUCUAAUCAAAAGACUUCGGCGAUAGGAACCAAAGGAGCCCGCCACAAUUUUUGUGGUAUCCAGAGGUACCCUUCUAUGGCCACGAAGACUCCUUAAAGGGAUUUAGGGAUUAGUGAGUGAAUGAGUGACUAAAUGAACAGUAUAGUAGUAUAGUGUAGUAUCAAAAGAGGGGGUAGCAGAUCUGGUUGGCGUUAUAGUCUCUUCCCUGGGGACUUGUCUCUACGCGGGCAAAGUCCUCAGGACGUGGACAGAAGAGGACCUGUGAAGUAGGCGAUAAGGUGGCGGAAUAUACC
This is a long non-coding RNA of Anthonomus grandis grandis, 541 nucleotides long. RefSeq lists it as uncharacterized. The transcript has 3 exons. NCBI's taxonomy places the organism in Eukaryota, Metazoa, Arthropoda, Insecta, Coleoptera, Curculionidae. The record is from RefSeq and is a predicted model, not a curated record.